GGGGAAUAUUGCGCAAUGGGGGAAACCCUGACGCAGCGACGCCGUGUGAGGGAAGAAGGCUUUCGGGUCGUAAACCUCUGUCGGGAAGGAAGAACCCCCCAGGUCCGAAUAGGGCCUGGGGCUGACGGUACUUCCAAAGGAAGCACCGGCUAACUCCGUGCCAGCAGCCGCGGUAAUACGGAGGGUGCAAGCGUUAUCCGGAUUUAUUGGGUUUAAAGGGAGCGUAGGCGGACUAUUAAGUCAGCUGUGAAAGUUUACGGCUCAACCGUGAAAUUGCAGUUGAAACUGGUCGUCUUGAGUGCAGUAAAGGUGGGCGGAAUUCGUGGUGUAGCGGUGAAAUGCUUAGAUAUCACGAAGAACACCGAUGGCGAAGGCAGCCUCCUGGGACAUAACUGACGCUGAUGCUCGAAAGCGUGGGGAGCAAACA
RNAcentral lists this ribosomal RNA (427 nucleotides) under uncultured bacterium. Its description in RNAcentral is "bacterial SSU rRNA". It matches the Rfam family "Bacterial small subunit ribosomal RNA", at positions 356 to 774 of the family's 1533-position model. The record is from RNAcentral.